RNAcentral lists this ribosomal RNA (429 nucleotides) under Pseudomonadota bacterium. Its description in RNAcentral is "Proteobacteria bacterium partial 16S ribosomal RNA". It matches the Rfam family "Bacterial small subunit ribosomal RNA", at positions 355 to 776 of the family's 1533-position model. Lineage: Bacteria; Pseudomonadati; Pseudomonadota. The record is from RNAcentral.
UGGGGAAUAUUGGACAAUGGGCGAAAGCCUGAUCCAGCCAUGCCGCGUGUGUGAAGAAGGUCUUCGGAUUGUAAAGCACUUUAAGUUGGGAGGAAGGGCAGUAAGCGAAUACCUUGCUGUCUUGACGUUACCGACAGAAUAAGCACCGGCUAACUCUGUGCCAGCAGCCGCGGUUAUACAGAGGGUGCGAGCGUUAAUCGGAUUUACUGGGCGUAAAGCGUGCGUAGGCGGCUAAUUGAGUCGGAUGUGAAAUCCCCGGGCUUAACUUGGGAAUUGCAUUGGAUACUGGUUGGCUAGAGUGUGGGAGAGGAUGGUAGAAUUCCAGGUGUAGCGGUGAAAUGCGUAGAGAUCUGGAGGAAUACCGGUGGCGAAGGCAGCCAUCUGGCCUAACACUGACGCUGAGGUACGAAAGCAUGGGGAGCAAACAGG